This 279-nucleotide ribosomal RNA is filed under the name uncultured bacterium. RNAcentral describes it as "partial 16S ribosomal RNA". It matches the Rfam family "Bacterial small subunit ribosomal RNA", at positions 506 to 784 of the family's 1533-position model. The record is from RNAcentral.
UGCCAGCCGCCGCGGUAAUACAGGGGGUGCAAGCGUUAAUCGGAGUGACUGGGCGUAAAGGGCGUGUAGGCGGUUCGUUAAGUCUGAUGUGAAAGCCCGGGGCUCAACCCCGGAAGUGCAUUGGAAACUGGCGAACUUGAGUACGGGAGAGGAAAGUGGAAUUCCGAGUGUAGGGGUGAAAUCCGUAGAUAUUCGGAGGAACACCAGUGGCGAAGGCGGCUUUCUGGACCGAUACUGACGCUGAGACGCGAAAGCGUGGGGAGCAAACAGGAUUAGAUA